This 212-nucleotide long non-coding RNA is filed under the name Nicotiana benthamiana. RNAcentral describes it as "long non-coding RNA (NBEN_LNC008913)". The record is from RNAcentral. Lineage: Eukaryota; Viridiplantae; Streptophyta; Magnoliopsida; Solanales; Solanaceae.
AUUCACUUGCAAAACGUGAAGUUUUUGGCCUAUAGUUGAAACACCUAAUGGUGUUAAGCCUGUUGGCUAUAGAUGGGUCUUUGUACGCAAGAGAAAUGAGAAAAACAAGGUACAAAGAUAUAAGGCGCUGGGUAUAAAUGGGUCUUUGUACGCAAGAGAAAUGAGAAAAACGAGGUACAAAGAUAUAAGGCAUGCCUUGUUGCACAAGGAUU